UACGGAGGAUGCAAGCGUUAUCCGGAAUGAUUGGGCGUAAAGCGUCUGUAGGUGGCACAUCAAGUCUGUCGUUAAAGAGCGUGGCUUAACUGCGUCAUAGCGAUGGAAACUGAGAAGCUAGAGUAUGGUAGGGGCAGAGGGAAUUCCCGGUGUAGCGGUGAAAUGCGUAGAGAUCGGGAAGAACACCGGUGGCGAAAGCGCUCUGCUGGGCCAAAACUGACACUGAGGGACGAAAGCUAGGGGAGCGAAAGG
This 252-nucleotide ribosomal RNA is filed under the name uncultured bacterium. Its description in RNAcentral is "partial 16S ribosomal RNA". It matches the Rfam family "Bacterial small subunit ribosomal RNA", at positions 524 to 775 of the family's 1533-position model. The record is from RNAcentral.